CCUACGGGUGGCAGCAGUGGGGAAUAUUGGGCAAUGGCGGCAACUCUUACCCAGCAAUGCCGCGUGAAUGAAGAAGGUCUCCGGAUUGUAAAGUUCUUUAAUUGGGGACGAAAAAAAUACGGUUCCCAAAGAAUUAGCCCCGGCUAAACACGUUCCACCAGCCGCGGUAAUACGUAGGGGGCAAGGGUUGGUCGGAAUGGCUGGGCGUAAAGGGUGUGUAGGCGGUGUAGCAAGUUAGAAGUUAAAUACCUAGAGCUUAACUCAGGUGCUGCUUCUAAAACUGCUAUACUUGAGUGCAGUAGAGGAAAGUGGAAUUCCUAGUGUAGCGGUGGAAUGCGUAGAUAUUAGGAGGAACAUCAGUGGCGAAGGCGACUUUCUGGACUGUAACUGACGCUGAGGCACGAAAGUGUGGGGAGCAAACAGGAUUAGAUACCCUAGUAGUC
Molecule: ribosomal RNA, 443 nt
Filed under: uncultured bacterium
Lineage: Bacteria
Description: partial 16S ribosomal RNA
Rfam family: Bacterial small subunit ribosomal RNA
Source: RNAcentral